CCUACGGGCGGCAGCAGUGGGGAAUAUUGGACAAUGGGGGGAACCCUGAUCCAGCGACGCAGCGUGAGUGAAGAAGGAUCUCGGUAUGUAAAGCUCUAUCAGUAGGGAAGAAAAUGACGGUACCUGACUAAGAAGCAACGGCUAACGACGGGCCAGCAGCGGCGGUAAUACGGAGGGGGCAAGCGUUAUCCGGAUUUACUGGGUGUAAAGGGAGCGUAGAAGGUGGAGCAAGUCUGAUGUGCAAGGUUGGGGCCCAACCCCGGUACUGCAUUUGAAACUGUUGAACUUGAGUACAGGAGAGGUAAGCGGAAUUCCUUGUGUAGCGGUGAAAUGCUUAGAUAUUAGGAGGAACUCCAGUUGCGAAGGCGGCUUACUGGACUGUCACUGACGUUGAUGCUCGAAAGCGUGGGUAUCAAACAGGAUUAGAUACCCUUGUAGUC
This 440-nucleotide ribosomal RNA is filed under the name uncultured bacterium. RNAcentral describes it as "partial 16S ribosomal RNA". It matches the Rfam family "Bacterial small subunit ribosomal RNA", at positions 338 to 795 of the family's 1533-position model. The record is from RNAcentral.